This 312-nucleotide ribosomal RNA is filed under the name uncultured bacterium. RNAcentral's name for it is "bacterial SSU rRNA". It matches the Rfam family "Bacterial small subunit ribosomal RNA", at positions 29 to 334 of the family's 1533-position model. The record is from RNAcentral.
AAUGAACGCUAGCUACAGGCUUAACACAUGCAAGUCGAGGGGCAGCAUUUUUAUAGCAAUAUAAAAGAUGGCGACCGGCGCACGGGUGAGUAACACGUAUCCAACCUGCCGAUAACUCGGGGAUAACCCUUCGAAAGAAGGCCUAAUACCCGAUGGCAUAUCCCUUCCGCCUGGUUGGGAUAUUAAAGAACUUCGGUUAUAGAUGGACAUGCGUUGUAUUAGCUAGUUGGUGAGGUAACGGCUCACCAAGGCAACGAUACAUAGGGGGACUGAGAGGUUAACCCCCCACACUGGUACUGAGACACGGAUCAG